This 675-nucleotide ribosomal RNA is filed under the name Debaryomyces hansenii. RNAcentral's name for it is "partial large subunit ribosomal RNA". The stretch from base 1 to 583 matches the Rfam family "Eukaryotic large subunit ribosomal RNA", at positions 66 to 664 of the family's 3401-position model. Lineage: Eukaryota; Fungi; Ascomycota; Pichiomycetes; Serinales; Debaryomycetaceae. The record is from RNAcentral.
CAAUCGGGGUAUAUGCCUUAGUUACGGCGAGUGAAGCGGCAAAAGCUCAAAUUUGAAAUCUGGCACCUUCGGUGUCCGAGUUGUAAUUUGAAGAAGGUAACUUUGGAGUUGGCUCUUGUCUAUGUUCCUUGGAACAGGACGUCACAGAGGGUGAGAAUCCCGUGCGAUGAGAUGCCCAAUUCUAUGUAAAGUGCUUUCGAAGAGUCGAGUUGUUUGGGAAUGCAGCUCUAAGUGGGUGGUAAAUUCCAUCUAAAGCUAAAUAUUGGCGAGAGACCGAUAGCGAACAAGUACAGUGAUGGAAAGAUGAAAAGAACUUUGAAAAGAGAGUGAAAAAGUACGUGAAAUUGUUGAAAGGGAAGGGCUUGAGAUCAGACUUGGUAUUUUGCGAUCCUUUCCUUCUUGGUUGGGUUCCUCGCAGCUUACUGGGCCAGCAUCGGUUUGGAUGGUAGGAUAAUGACUAAGGAAUGUGGCUCUACUUCGGUGGAGUGUUAUAGCCUUGGUUGAUACUGCCUGUCUAGACCUAGGACUGCCUCUUUUGACUACGAUGGUGGUCUCCUGAUCUUUCUCCUCCCCCCCUAAGGGGAUUCAAAAAAAAAUAUAGAUAAAAAAUUUAUUAGAAAGGGGAGAGGUAGAGGGCGGUUGGGAGUGGGUGAGGGGGGAAGGGGGGGGCGCGCG